UACAGAGGGGGCGAGCGUUGUUCGGAAUUACUGGGCGUAAAGGGCGCGUAGGCGGCCAACUAAGUCAGACGUGAAAUCCCUCGGCUCAACCGGGGAACUGCGUCUGAUACUGGAUGGCUUGAGUUUGGGAGAGGGAUGCGGAAUUCCAGGUGUAGCGGUGAAAUGCGUAGAUAUCUGGAGGAACACCGGUGGCGAAGGCGGCAUCCUGGACCAACACUGACGCUGAGUGAGCGAAAGCCAGGGGAGCAAACGGG
RNAcentral lists this ribosomal RNA (254 nucleotides) under uncultured bacterium. RNAcentral describes it as "partial 16S ribosomal RNA". It matches the Rfam family "Bacterial small subunit ribosomal RNA", at positions 524 to 776 of the family's 1533-position model. The record is from RNAcentral.